Molecule: ribosomal RNA, 921 nt
Filed under: uncultured organism
Description: bacterial SSU rRNA
Rfam family: Bacterial small subunit ribosomal RNA
Source: RNAcentral
UUAGAGUUGAUCCUGGCUCAGGAUGAACGCUAGCGGCGCGCUUAAUGCAUGCAAGUCGAGCGAUGAGGUCUCCUUCGGGGGACACAUCAGCGGCAGACGGGUGAGUAACACGUAGGUAACCUACCCCAGAGACAGGGAUAACCCUAGGAAACGAGGGCUAAUACCGGAUGACCUCCGGAAGGAGGAAAGGCUCAGGCGCUCUGGGAGGGGCUUGCGGCCCAUCAGCUAGUUGGUAGGGUAAAGGCCUACCAAGGCGAAGACGGGUAGGGGGUGUGAGAGCACGGNCCCCCACAAUGGGACUGAAACACGGCCCAUACUCCUACGGGAGGCAGCAGCAGGGAAUAUUGCACAAUAGGCGAAAGCCUGAUGCAGCGACGCCGCGUGAGUGAAGAAGGCCUUCGGGUCGUAAAGCUCUUUUGUAGGGGAAGAGGAAGGACGGUACCCUAAGAAGAAGCGUCGGCUAACUACGUGCCAGCAGCCGCGGUAAGACGUAGGACGCGAGCGUUAUCCGGAAUUACUGGGCGUAAAGGGCCAGCAGGCGGCUUGGUAAGUUGUGCGUGAAAGCCUCGUGCUCAACGCGAGGAAGCCGGACAAUACUGUCAAGCUAGAGGGCAUCAGAGGGGAGUGGAAUUCCCGGAGUAGCGGUAAAAUGCGCAGAUAUCGGGAGGAACACCGAUGGCGAAGGCAGCUCCCUGGGAUGCACCUGACGCUAAGAGGCGAAAGCUAGGGGAGCGAACAGGAUUAGAGACCCUGGUAGUCCUAGCUGUAAACGCUGGGUGCUAGGUGUGGGACGUAGAAGUUCCGUGCCGGAGCAAACGCGAUAAGCACCCCGCCUGGGAAUUACGGUCGCAAGGCUAAAACUCAAACGAAUUGACGGGGCCCCGCACAAGCAGCGGAGCGUGUGGUUCAAUUCGAUGCUAC